RNAcentral lists this ribosomal RNA (305 nucleotides) under uncultured bacterium. Its description in RNAcentral is "bacterial SSU rRNA". It matches the Rfam family "Bacterial small subunit ribosomal RNA", at positions 337 to 640 of the family's 1533-position model. The record is from RNAcentral.
GCCUACGGGAGGCAGCAGUGAGGAAUAUUGGUCAAUGGACGAGAGUCUGAACCAGCCAAGUAGCGUGAAGGAUGACUGCCCUAUGGGUUGUAAACUUCUUUUAUAUGGGAAUAAAGUUUUCCACGUGUGGAAUUUUGUAUGUACCAUAUGAAUAAGGAUCGGCUAACUCCGUGCCAGCAGCCGCGGUAAUACGGAGGAUCCGAGCGUUAUCCGGAUUUAUUGGGUUUAAAGGGUGCGCAGGCGGCGAGUUAAGUCAGCGGUAAAAUUUCGGGGCUCAACCCCGACGAGCCGUUGAAACUGGCUUG